This is a non-coding RNA of Aurantimonas sp. 22II-16-19i, 444 nucleotides long. It matches the Rfam family "Bacterial RNase P class A". From Rfam's summary of the family: Ribonuclease P (RNase P) is a ubiquitous endoribonuclease, found in archaea, bacteria and eukarya as well as chloroplasts and mitochondria. Its best characterised activity is the generation of mature 5'-ends of tRNAs by cleaving the 5'-leader elements of precursor-tRNAs. Cellular RNase Ps are ribonucleoproteins. Lineage: Bacteria; Pseudomonadati; Pseudomonadota; Alphaproteobacteria; Hyphomicrobiales; Aurantimonadaceae. The record is from Rfam.
UCAGCCGGCCGGGCGACCGCUCCCGUCAGACGUCGAAAGACGGCGGGGGAGGAAAGUCCGGGCUCCACGGAGAGACGGUGCCGGAUAACGUCCGGCGGGGGCGACCCUAGGGAAAGUGCCACAGAAAGCAGACCGCCCCGCCUACAGUUCGGCUCGUCGUGACGAGGGUCACGAGGCAGCGAGCCGCAGUGUCGGCGGGGUAAGGGUGAAAGGGUGGGGUAAGAGCCCACCGCGGCGCCGGCAACGGCGGCGGCAUGGUAAACCCCACCGGGAGCAAGACCGAAUAGGGACGACGCGGCGUGGGAUUUCGUCCCACCGCCAGCCUCUCUCCGGGCCAGUCGUUCGGGUAGGUUGCUAGAGGCGGUCCGCAAGGGCCGUCCCAGAGGAAUGGUCGCCAGGCGGCUCUGCCGCUUACAGAACCCGGCUUACAGGCCGGCUGACACU